Cottoperca gobio is the source of this 1899-nucleotide long non-coding RNA. The record is from Ensembl. Lineage: Eukaryota; Metazoa; Chordata; Actinopteri; Perciformes; Bovichtidae.
AUGCUGGAGGCAUGUAGGAGGCCGCAGGUGACAGCAGGCCGGGUGACGCAGAAGGCUGGAGGGAAAAGGACAGCGUUAUGUCAACACUCUCACCUGGUCGAUCUGCUGCGUUGGUCUCUUCCUUCCACGCUGCGUGUUGCCUCCUCCUCCCUCACUGUACGGCAGUACGUCUCCAAUCUGGCUGAACUCCCACACUUUGCGGCGGCCUCUUCCCCUCUGGCAGUUCUUGGCUGGCUUCAGAAGCUCUCUGGUCUUCAGGAACAACUUCCUGCCUACAGCUCCUCCGCCCUGACCCGUCCUGGGCGACCUCACCCCCCACCGCUGCAUGAACAACUUCUGCAGCUUGCCCACCCCCACCACCUGCACAGCCACAGUUUGUGUUAACCCCCCUCUCCCCCUCCCUCCUGUUCUUGCUCGUGGUCUCCUGGCUCUUCUCCCACUCGUCCCAGCUCUUCUGGCACCUCCCACUCCUGCUCCCCGCCUCCUCCUUGCUCGCCCCCUACCGGAGCAAUCCUCCUUGUCCGGGUUCAGAAAGUAGCUGAUGUAUCCUGGGAUGUUGCCUUGAAACUGCUCCAACUGCUCGUGCUCCCAUUCUUCAGCUGCUGCUGCGUCAUCUCUGGCUGCUCCUUGAGGGCCGGCCCACCAGCUCUGGAGGUCAUCAGCACAUGGGCCCGCUUGGCUCAAAAAUGGGAGGGUUGGGGGGACGAAGGUGUGCGGCGGCGCCACAACAGACGUGUGUCCAGCUGCUGUGAUGGAUUCUUGCAUGGAGUCAACGAGAGCAGAUGAAGGUUGAUGUGUUUGGUUUCCAUCUGGUGGAUAGAAGAGGGAUAUGGGGAUGUAGGGAAUUUGAGGGGGGAAAAGAUGGGAUUCGGCCUGUCCUAAAUUCUGGAAGGUUGCCAUAUCAAUGGUCUCUAAGGAGGCUGCUGGGUGAGAUGGGGGACUCAUUUCUUCUUGCAGCUCUUCUGUUUGAGUCUGUGUGUCUUCCAUACCAUCUGAGUGUGUCUCUUUCCACAGAAAGGUGCUCCCAUCCCUCACCUCUCUCCUCCACCUGCCCCGUCUCCCUUCAUCCUCCUCAGGCAUCAGUGGAUCCGUCUGCACUCCUACCUCCGAAUGCCAGCCUUUUCCUUCCUCACUUCUGCUUUUAUGAUCUCUUUUUGUGACCUCCACCAGCCCGUGGAUGCCCAGCUUGGCGGCAGUCAAAAUAGCCUCUUGCUUCUCCUUCUCCCCCUCCCCAGUCAUCUCCCCACAGUACAGCAGUCUGACCAUAUGGAGCAGGGUGCAUGCGCCAAGAGCCCGAAACUCCAAGAGAUGGCUCUGUCCUGCAGGAGGCGGCGGCAUGGAGGACAGAGCAGAGGCGAUGUGGGGGCUGAUGGCUGACAGAAUACAACUGUGUGCGGGCACUGAUACACCUGGAGGACAGGAAAGAUGUCAGUAAUGAUAAUGGCUUCCACAACUACAUGAAAAAAUAUGAGAUUGUCUAUUUGCAAACCUUCUACCUGCUGAUUAAAUGAACACAAACAGCAAAAGAAGACAGUCUAAAGGUGACAGUGUGUUGUGCGUGUAAUGUAGUUGUUGUGAGUGUAUUUAUACCUUCUGUCUUGAGCAGAGUGUCACAGAACUGGCUGCACUGUUGCUGUCUCUGCAGCUCAGCGAGGAGGAGGGCUUCAAACCCCGGUUUUUGGUAGCACCACAUCUCCCCAUCCACCUCUGAGGAGGAGCAAAGGGAGGGUGAAUUAAUAAAAAUUAUGACAGUUUUGGUGCAAUAAUGUCUUUUUACACAAAUGUGACUGCAUUUUAAAGCUAGAAACAAUAAAACGCAGAUGUUUGUGGUAGUUAUCGUACAUGUAGCUAGCAAGGGGACGAUAUAGGAUUCUAUUGCAGAUUGUGGUAAAGAAAAAG